Molecule: long non-coding RNA, 245 nt
Organism: Asterias rubens (European starfish)
Lineage: Eukaryota; Metazoa; Echinodermata; Asteroidea; Forcipulatida; Asteriidae
Exons: 3
Source: RefSeq, a predicted model, not a curated record
UGGACGGAGAGAAGUCAUUUGCUUCUUCGGAGAGAAUUUUGCCCGCAAUUUGGCUCCAUUUUACCGUUUCCUGAAAAAGGAACGGUAGUUAUGAAACGCAAGACAUGUCCUCACAAAGUAAAUGCAAAAACUGCAUUACAUGGUCUCAACUCUCCCAAGAAUGCUGAAGGUCGUCACAAGGUCGUCAGCCAGAAAGACCUAGGACCACUGAUUGACAGGGCAUGUGCCAAGUGCGGUCACGAUGG